GGUAAAAUACUCCUUGCCUGUAGAGUUACUACAGUAGAGAGUAAAAUCUUCAAGAAAACCCAUCAUGGAGAAGAUAGUUGGUAAAAAAACUCUUUGGCUGUACGGUUACAACAGUAGAGAGAAAAAAAACCCAUUAUGAAGAAGAUAGUUGGUCUCAAAUAAAAAAUGUUACAAGAAAAAAAACUCCUUGGCUAUAGGGUUACUACAGCAGAGAGAAAAAACUUCAAGAAAAUCCAUUAUGAAGAAGAUAGUCGGU
This is a long non-coding RNA of Cimex lectularius (bed bug), 256 nucleotides long. RefSeq lists it as uncharacterized. The record is from RefSeq and is a predicted model, not a curated record. NCBI's taxonomy places the organism in Eukaryota, Metazoa, Arthropoda, Insecta, Hemiptera, Cimicidae. The transcript is spliced from 3 exons.